RNAcentral lists this ribosomal RNA (417 nucleotides) under uncultured Gammaproteobacteria bacterium. RNAcentral's name for it is "bacterial SSU rRNA". It matches the Rfam family "Bacterial small subunit ribosomal RNA", at positions 370 to 779 of the family's 1533-position model. Lineage: Bacteria; Pseudomonadati; Pseudomonadota; Gammaproteobacteria. The record is from RNAcentral.
AAUGGGCGCAAGCCUGAUCCAGCAAUACCGCGUGUGUGAAGAAGGCUCUAGGGUCGUAAAGCACUUUCAGUAGGGAGGAAAGGAGUGUAGUUAAUACCUGCAUUCUGUGACGUUACCUACAGAAGAAGCACCGGCUAACUCCGUGCCAGCAGCCGCGGUAAUACGGAGGGUGCAAGCGUUAAUCGGAAUUACUGGGCGUAAAGCGCGCGUAGGCGGAUUGUUAAGUCUCAUGUGAAAGCCCUGGGCUCAACCUGGGAACUGCAUGGGAUACUGGCAAUCUAGAAUACAGUAGAGGGUAGUGGAAUUUCAGGUGUAGCGGUGAAAUGCGUAGAGAUCUGAAGGAACAUCAGUGGCGAAGGCGACUACCUGGACUGAUAUUGACGCUGAGGUGCGAAAGCGUGGGGAGCAAACGGGAUU